UGAGAGUCUAAACAGCUGAUAAAAACAUCACAAGAAUCCACAAGUAAUCCACACCACUCCAGUCUAUGUUAGCUGCAAGCAACUUUUUGAAGUUAAAAACAUCUCACAUAAACUAUUUCUCGGUGAAGUGUUAGCUGUUGUUAUUUUUAUGUGGCACUGUCAUUGUAGACUAAAUCUGAUUGGACCAAAACCCGCAUACACCACUGCAAGAUGUUCUCAUCGAUAUUUUUAGUCCGUUUACCUGGAAGAAAAAGAGUGUAUAUUUUAAAUGUGUUUUUUUCCCCAAGAUAAUAAUUAUGUUUUGUCACUUUUAGUAAAGCUCAAGUUAUCAGACAUGGACUGCAUGCUACAAAUUUCAUGACUUUGUUACAAGAUCGGAAGAAUAACUGGAUAUUAGGUUGUGAGAUGCUGCUGGGAAGUGAAAUGCACGAAGCACCUCCAUCCUUGAAGAUCUGAAAGAUGAUGGGAGUCCAGUACUUACAAAAGGAUGAGAUCCAGCGGUCUAGACAGGCCAAACUCAAUAAGCGCAUUUUCCACAUGCUGAAAAUGGCAGAAGAGCGAAAGGAAGGAACUGAUUGGAAAUGUACACAAACUCAGGGCAGGUCUGUAAUUCAAUCUUACAGAGAUGCAGAGAAGGAGUUUGAACUUUGCAGCUCGGCUGAUCUGCUCUGCUCAAGAGCUCAUUCCAAUCACGCACGUCUGUGGCAUAAUCAGUUGGAGGAAGCCGAGCUCUCUGACAGACAGCGAUGCACAGCACCUCGCAAAGCAAGCGAGGCUUUCAUCUUUAAUACAAGCGCUGGGAGUCUGAGGGUGUCGGGGGUCUACGCAAGCCUCAAACACACACACACACACACACACACACACACACACACACAGACACACAGGCUCUCAUUAUUCAUUCACUUUCUUCAAUAGAUCUUCUGGUAUUUUCAUAUGUAAAGUGCUUCAGUGUGAUGUCUGGGAGGAUCUUUGAAGCAGCUCUUGUUUAUGUUUCUGGUACAAAAGAAAUUGUCUCAUUCAUAAUGCAC
RNAcentral lists this long non-coding RNA (1028 nucleotides) under Sinocyclocheilus grahami. RNAcentral describes it as "lncRNA (ENSSGRG00000010030.1)". Lineage: Eukaryota; Metazoa; Chordata; Actinopteri; Cypriniformes; Cyprinidae. The record is from RNAcentral.